UCAUGUGCUUCAAUACAAUUCCUAGUUGGGAC
RNAcentral lists this non-coding RNA (32 nucleotides) under Rattus norvegicus (Norway rat). The record is from RNAcentral. Lineage: Eukaryota; Metazoa; Chordata; Mammalia; Rodentia; Muridae.